This 200-nucleotide ribosomal RNA is filed under the name uncultured bacterium. RNAcentral describes it as "partial 16S ribosomal RNA". It matches the Rfam family "Bacterial small subunit ribosomal RNA", at positions 8 to 198 of the family's 1533-position model. The record is from RNAcentral.
AGAGUUUGAUCCUGGCUCAGGACGAACGCUGGCGGCGUGCUUAACACAUGCAAGUCGAGCGGGCACCAUCCGGUGGCAACACUGGUGAAGUGCUAGCGGCGAACGGGUGAGUAACACGUGAGCAACCUGCCCCCAAGUCUGGGAUAACCCCGGGAAACCGGAGCUAAUACCGGAUGCCCUCGGCGGACCGCAUGGUCUGU